UGUUCCAAAUAGUUCUAAUUUUGGUUUCGUAUUCCGUUUUAUGAGAAGCAUAGAAUGGCAAGUUUGUAAUGUCAAAAUAACGUAUAACGUACGUAAAUGUUUAUUCCUUAUUAUUAACGGAAAGAGUUUAUCCAGGGAGAAAAAAAUACUUUGUUUCAUUUCAAAAUUGCUAUAUAUACGAAACUAAAUGUAAGCAUCACUAUCGUUCAUGGAUGAAAAUGGAAGAAGAACUCGAUGAUCUUUGAGAUAAAUCAACUGAGUAUGAACAGUGGAAUAGACAGCAGAAUGAACUUUAAAAUGUUUUUAAUUUGUUUAAAUAAAUGAUUUAUGGUUUGAUUCUUGAA
Long non-coding RNA from Mytilus californianus (California mussel), 344 nucleotides. RefSeq lists it as uncharacterized. NCBI's taxonomy places the organism in Eukaryota, Metazoa, Mollusca, Bivalvia, Mytilida, Mytilidae. The transcript has 2 exons. The record is from RefSeq and is a predicted model, not a curated record.